UUGCAAGUCCUAUCUGCAAAAAAAUGGAUAAGAUAACUUGAUUAAGUAAUAAACAAUUCAUUUUAGACACAUAAAAGUAGGCGACAAGGGUGUUAUUUUUACACCUUAUCAAACUUUCUCACACUUAUCUUGUGGUUGCCCUCAAACACUACAUAGUACACCCCAUCAAUACUUACCUCUUCACUUACAACUCACUAAUUCCCAACCAUCAAAUUACAACCC
RNAcentral lists this long non-coding RNA (222 nucleotides) under Carica papaya (papaya). RNAcentral describes it as "long non-coding RNA (CPAP_LNC001499)". The record is from RNAcentral. Lineage: Eukaryota; Viridiplantae; Streptophyta; Magnoliopsida; Brassicales; Caricaceae.